UGGAAAGGAAGGGAAGGGAAGCUCCAUUCGCAUUCGCAAGCACUGGGCGCGGAGAUCUUCGCUUCCGAUCCAUAUCCGGCGUUUCUUCUCCGUCAGGUGGGUUCCACAGCGAUACCCACCUCCAUAUCUUGCCGCAAUCGGAGCCAUAUUCCGGAGCCAGGCUCGCAACACAGAGUGCGCCAUACCAUACAGAAGCAGAAGAAGAAGCAGAAGACAUUGGGAUCCGUUUCAUGGUACUGAAUGCGCCGCUGACGGUGUCGUCCUGUGAAGCUUUGACGGUGGACGGGAUUUGAGAGGUCGAAGAGAACCAGCCGAACGAGACUCUGGGUGUUGAAGUUGUGUGUGGCGGAGAAGCGAUGGUUGCUCCGGGUGGGUGGCGUGUGCAGAUUGCGCCUGAGUUGGUGGUGUAGGGGAGCAAAAGAGGAAAAAGAAGAUUAUUGACGGUUAUCGGAGGGUGUAGAUGUUUCUGUAACCUACUUUCCGGGCCUUCUGGUACUUAGGGGUGUGUAUCAUAUGUAUGCCGUGGAGACGCGAAGUAUUCUCGGCGAGACCGGGGGGAGAGCAAGGGAAAGGGGAAGGAAUCGUCGACAGCUCAGUUUGACCACUGGAGUGGACCCUUAGACAGGCGGAAGGGGAAGAAGAGGUGCAAGCUAGAACUGGCGGUCAUCAUGCGAGCGCUUGUGUUACUCAAACCUUCUUAUGUAACCCGGGCGAGGAAGAACGGACUGGUAGUCGAGGUGCGGACGACUCAGUUUUUGUAUUAGUAUGAUCAAGCCAUCCAAGAAAGAUUUCAAAUUCUCGAAAUUGGUUUUUGUCUUCUCUUUGCCUGUGAAGUCUUCAAGGAGUUUGGCGGGUGUAGAGAAUGGUGUUAUCGUCGAUUUCAAGACGCAUGUGGUGCACGAGAUAUUUUUGGGGGAGAGGAGACAGUGAUUUUUCAUUAGUCUGAGGUUAUGAUUGUAAGAGUGUCUGACCACUAGGAGGUCUGGUUACUAGGGUUAAGCACGGAGCUGGAGGGUCUCACUAGGGCUGGACUGACUGGAGACAGCGGAUCUGGAAAGCAAGGGUAACCGGAAACAGAUGUGGUCAAGGCAACAUAUUACGUUGCAAAGAUAGGGAUUUUCUGGAGUUCAUAUUGUUGCGAGGUGUAGGAGUGAGGGAUUAGGAGAAAAUGGCACAGCUUUCGGGUUUGGAGCUGGCAGCUUAUGACAAGAGCCCUGUGCAUGCCGCUGUCGCACGGCGAGACCACAUCACUCUGCAGCGAAUUCUGUCCAAGCUGCCACGCCCUGUGAAGGCGGGAGAGGUGACAACGGAAGCAGAGUCUAUCGCAGCGGAGGAGCGAGCGGACGAGAUUUCGAAGGUUAUAGAUAGGCGUGAUGUGCCUGGGCGUGAGACGCCCUUGCAUUUAGCUGUGAGGCUCGGAGACGCAGAUGCCGUAGAGAUGUUGAUGAGUGCUGGCGCAGACUGGAGUUUGCAAAAUGAGCAAGGUUGGAGUGCAUUGCAGGAGGCUGUGUGCGCAAGGGAGGAGGGAAUUGCCAUCAUCAUCACGCGGCACUAUCAACCCAUGGCGUGGGCGAAGUGGUGCCGUCGGUUGCCGCGCCUUUCAGCUACCAUGCAUCGGAUGCGGGACUUUUACAUGGAGAUUUCUUUUCAUUUCGAGAGCUCUGUUAUACCAUUCAUAGGUCGCAUUGCACCGUCUGAUACUUACCGGAUAUGGAAACGGGGCUCUAAUCUUAGGGCAGAUAUGACUCUCGCAGGCUUCGAUGGAUUCCGAAUCCACAGAUCCGAUCAGAGCUUUGUGUUUUUGGGUGAUGGAAGCGAAGAUGGGAAACUUGCACCUGGUACUCUUUGUGUUUUGACUCACAAGGAUAAGGAAGUUGCAAAUGCAUUGGAGGGUGCUGGGGUACAACCGUCAGAGAAUGAGAUUGCACAAGAAGUCGCUGCCAUGUCAAGGACUAACAUGUACAGGCCAGGCAUUGAUGUCACCGAGGCAGAGCUGGUCGCUCAAACGUCGUGGAGGCGACAAGAAAAGACAGAAAUGGUGGGAGCAUGGAAGGCAAAAGUUCAUGACAUGCACCAUGUUCAGGUGAGCGUUAGGUCUAGAAGAGUUCCUGGUGCGAUGACGGAUGAGGAGCUAUUUGCACUCGAUAGUGACAGGGUAGAUACAGAGGCAGACGAAGAUUAUAGCAAUUUACUUACAACUGCAGAGAAAGAGCAGCUGGAAAAUGUUCUGAAGGCGGAGCAUUUAGAUGAGAACCGCACCGGUGGUGCAGAAAGGCUAGACCAUGAGUUGCAGAAUGGGAAUUUUGUUUACCUGAACGAAGAUUCAGAUGACGAAUCCGACUCACAUCUUAGGCAAUCACCCCAUGAGAACGGGAAUGGUGAAUUGCUUGGAUCUUCCAAAGAUGAAAAAAGGAGUCGGUGGUAUGCUUGGGGAAAGAAGAGUGUGAAAGCUUCUAAGAAGCUGGAUUCGCUUAGUGACAAAGGUUCUGAUUCAGGUCAUUCAAGUGCCGAGGCCCCAAGGAAAUCUAAACAAGGUCCUGGUUUACCCACACCUGACUCCCAACUAAAGCUAUUAAAGCAAAGGAAAUCCGUGGAUGGGCGCAGGUCUGUAGAUAGUCAGUUAGCUGCCUAUGAGAACCAAAAUCGGCCGUCUGUAGAUCGGCGACCGUCGAAUGUUGAUGACCUGCUGUCAGCAAAAGGAAAGGGGAAAGAAUUGAAAAGUGGCAGACAUAGUACCAGUAGUAAGGAGUUGAUCAAGAGCAAGUCCCGUCGUGGUACUCCCAAGCCUGAGGCUACAUCGGAGAGUGAGUACAAAAAGGGGCUGAGACCAAUUUUGUGGCUGACACCUGACUACCCUUUGAAGACCGAGGAGUUGUUACCGCUCCUGGACAUUCUAGCAAACAAGGUCAAGGCAGUUCGGCGAUUGCGUGAAUUGCUUACUACAAAGUUGCCUCCAGGAACCUUCCCUGUUAAGGUGGCUAUUCCCGUGGUGCCGACAAUCAGAGUGGUUAUCACCUUCACCAAAUUCGAGGAACUGAAACCGGCGGAAGAAUUUUCAACCCCUUUAUCCAGCCCCAGGCACUUCAGUGAUGCCAAGUCAGAGGCAGACGCAGCGCCAGCCCCGUCUCAGGGCUCCUGGUUGUACUGGAUGAGAGGCGCUCCAGGUUCAGGCAAGAGUGCUACAGUGAGCAGCUUGGAGGAGCAGCUUGAGGAAGAGGCUGAUCCAUUCAUGAUUCCUCCCAACUAUCGAUGGAUUGACAUGGAAGAGAAGAAACGCCGCUUACGCGAAAAGAAGGGCCGAAGCAAGAAGGUUAAGAAGCCUCCCCGACCUCCAUCCUCACAGGAUGUGGACACUAACAAUUAGUCUCUGGCAUUGAGUUUGUGAGAAGCAUUGUUUGUAGAUUGAUAUAAGUUAGGUGUUUAACUGAGGCUAAUCUAAGGUUGUGACGCUUGGAGGGGCUUGGAGGAGCAUGAGGCAAUUUGCUAUUGUUUUUGACAAGUCAUUUUCACUGCCAAUCAUUUGUUGGAGGCAACAGGUGGCUGGGUAUUCUUUCGCAGGACCAACAGAAUGAAAAUCUGGCACGGAUUUGUUUGACACUGAGAAGCCACAAUAAGUUGGAGAUGUGCAGUAUACUGAGAUGAAGCCAAGUACAGGUCAUCAUAGCUGACCAUCUUCAGGCACUGCAUUUAUAUUUCAUUUUAAGCGUUUGGCACUGAAGAAGAGCUUUUCAGAGCUUCUAAUGGGCUUCAAGACGGAGCUGUUUAUGUCGCACAGACAUCCCCACCAAUGAUGUGCUUUCUGGACUGAAAUUUGAGUCCUUGACCCGGUGUCCAGCGGAGCUCAACUAAGUAGUAACGGCCCUAAUCCCGUUUUUUAAAAAUUCGUUACUAACUUGGUUGGCAAACUCAGCGAGAUUCAGUUUAGAUCCUUUACAUCUUAAGAGAGUAUUUUGAAGGAUUUACUUCAAAGAGCAUGCAAGAAGAGAAACAGUCGAAAAUCAAAGUCGAAAUUGCAUCUAAAACCGAGUAAUCUUUUUUUUGAACAGAGGUUUCACGCGCCAGGUAGGGGUCGGACCUACGACUUUCUGCUUAGGAAACAGACGCUCUAUCCACUGAGCUACAGGCGCUCAAGACUACGUCGAAAUUGAUUAUUUCUUUUAAUCUGAUACUUCUAAAGUUCUGUUGUGAUUAUUAA
Non-coding RNA from Physcomitrium patens, 4195 nucleotides. The record is from RefSeq and is a predicted model, not a curated record. Lineage: Eukaryota; Viridiplantae; Streptophyta; Bryopsida; Funariales; Funariaceae.